RNAcentral lists this ribosomal RNA (301 nucleotides) under uncultured bacterium. Its description in RNAcentral is "partial 16S ribosomal RNA". It matches the Rfam family "Bacterial small subunit ribosomal RNA", at positions 509 to 807 of the family's 1533-position model. The record is from RNAcentral.
CAGUAGCCGCGGGAAUACGUAGGGUGCGAGCGUUAAUCGGAAUUACUGGGCGUAAAGCGUGCGCAGGCGGUUGUGUAAGACAGGUGUGAAAUCCCCGGGCUUAACCUGGGAACUGCGCUUGUGACUGCACGGCUAGAGUAUGGCAGAGGGGGGUGGAAUUCCACGUGUAGCAGUGAAAUGCGUAGAGAUGUGGAGGAACACCGAUGGCGAAGGCAGCCCCCUGGGCCAAUACUGACGCUCAUGCACGAAAGCGUGGGGAGCAAACAGGAUUAGAUACCCGUGUAGUCCCUGUCUCUUAUAC